CUGCUGUUCCUUCGAGACCAACCCGCGCUAGUUGCGCCCGUGGCAUGCGGAAGUUCCUGGGCCCCAGGGAUCAAACCUACGCCCACACCAGUGACGACAUCGGAUCCUUAACCUGCUGUACCACCGGGGAACUCCUGAUAAUGCAUUCUGAUAAUAAGCAAUGCACAGUGGAACUCACAAAACAUUUUUCAAAUGCUGAUUCGAGAUAGAGAGAAACCACUCGGGGAGAGAAAUUGUAGAGCUGUGGAAGCGGACCUGCGGGACGACACCAUUUAAAGACACAGAUAAUAUUUGGGCAUCUUUCUCCCCGUUCCGCCGGCCACGAUUCCCUUCUGUCUUUGGAGCUGCCACAUCUGUCCGAGAUGGAGAGACUGUGUCGACGGCUGGAGGGAGAAUUACCAGGAGCGUUUUCUUCCCAACAAGACCCCCCCCCUCCGCCCCCCAAGAUCAGCCAGCAUGUCUUCCUA
This 467-nucleotide long non-coding RNA is filed under the name Sus scrofa (pig). RNAcentral describes it as "lncRNA (ENSSSCG00070013393.1)". Lineage: Eukaryota; Metazoa; Chordata; Mammalia; Artiodactyla; Suidae. The record is from RNAcentral.